Molecule: ribosomal RNA, 406 nt
Filed under: uncultured bacterium
Lineage: Bacteria
Description: partial 16S ribosomal RNA
Rfam family: Bacterial small subunit ribosomal RNA
Source: RNAcentral
GACGAACGCUGGCGGCGCGCUUAACACAUGCAAGUCGAGCGAAGCGGCGGACGGGUGAGUAACACGUGAGUAACCUGCCUUAGACAUUGGGAUAGCCUCGGGAAACCGGGAUUAAUACCAAAUGGUCUAAGAUGGACUCGCGUCCCAUUAGCUAGUUGGUGGGUAACGGCCCACCAAGGCGACGAUGGGUAGCCGGCCUGGGAGGGUGAACGGCCACAUUGGAACUGAGAAACGGUCCAAACUCUACGGGAGGCAGCAGUGGGGAAUAUUGCACAAGGGAGGGAACUCUGAUGCAGCGACGCCGCGUGAACGAAGAAGGUAUUCGUAUCGUAAAGUUCUGUCCUAUGGGAAGCAGUACCAUAGAAGAAAGCUCCGGCUAAAUACGUGCCAGCCGCCGCGGUAAUUC